RNAcentral lists this transfer RNA (84 nucleotides) under Muribaculaceae bacterium. RNAcentral describes it as "tRNA-Leu". It matches the Rfam family "tRNA". From Rfam's summary of the family: Transfer RNA (tRNA) molecules are approximately 80 nucleotides in length. Their secondary structure includes four short double-helical elements and three loops (D, anti-codon, and T loops). Further hydrogen bonds mediate the characteristic L-shaped molecular structure. tRNAs have two regions of fundamental functional importance: the anti-codon, which is responsible for specific mRNA codon recognition, and the 3' end, to which the tRNAs corresponding amino acid is attached (by aminoacyl-tRNA synthetases). tRNAs cope with the degeneracy of the genetic code in two manners: having more than one tRNA (with a specific anti-codon) for a particular amino acid; and 'wobble' base-pairing, i.e. permitting non-standard base-pairing at the 3rd anti-codon position. Lineage: Bacteria; Pseudomonadati; Bacteroidota; Bacteroidia; Bacteroidales; Muribaculaceae. The record is from RNAcentral.
GCCCGAAUGGUGGAAUGGUAGACACGAGGGACUUAAAAUCCCUUGGCCAUAUCGGCUGUAUGGGUUCGAGUCCCAUUUCGGGCA